UUAUAUUAUAGAGUAAAUGACCAGAUAACUGGAUAUAUUGAUAAGCAAGUAAAUGACCAGAUAACUGGAUAUAUUGAUAAGCAAAUAAAUGACCAGAUAACUGGAUAUAUUGAUAAGCAAGUAAAUGACCAGAUAACUGGAUAUAUAUAUGAUAAGUAAAUGUUUGAACAAAUAUAUGAAUAAAGAUUUAAAGCAAUGAAUAUAACCUCAGAUAGUUGACCAGAUAACUGGAUGAGGGAUCUGCGUAAAGUAGUCAACCUCUGUAUUUGACCAGAUAACUGGAAGAGGGAUCCUUUUCAAUUAAGUGUUGUUUAGUUGUUUUUAGAUGAAAGAUAAAAACUAGAGUCACUACAAAAAACCAGCGCAGUUCUGGCGCCCAUCUCCCGGCGGCCUGGCCGCCGGUAGAUACGACCGGCGGCCAGGCCGACGGAAGGUUACACUUGUCCGCCUGCAUAAUUUUCCCUCGUAAAUGAGAGAAAUUUUCUAGCGGCCAGGCCGACGAAAUAUUUUUUUGUAAAAAAUUCCAGCGGCCUGGCCGCCAGCUUCAAUUUCACCAACGGUCGGGAAGAUGUGAUCCGGCGGCCUGGCCGCCAGCUCCAAUUUCCCCAACGGUCGGGAAGAAGUGAUCCGGCGGCCAUACUAAAACCCUCAACGGUCGGGAGAAAAAUAGCUGGCGGCUUGGCCGCUGGAUACUUUUUCCCGCUUAUUUUUUUCAGUAGUCGGCGGCCUGGCCGCCAGGAUUUUUUGGAAACCCUAAAAUUACAACUUGCGCCGCCGUGGUCCCCCGUACAGUCAAAUUUAGUCAACUCGAACUUAAGUGUUUCCCGACGGCCUGGCCGCCGGAAAUUUUUUAUAUAAGUCAAAAAAUUUCAGACUUUUCUCAUUUCUCCCAACGGUUUCCUCACUUCUCCAAACUCUCCCAAACUCUCCCAAACUUCUCCCAAGGUGUCGAAAGUUCUCCCCAAGGGCGUUUGUAGCUUCUCCGGGCGAUUUGAUUGAGCACUCCGGCCAUUCCUCCCCAAGGUAAUAAUCUCCCCUUCUUGAUCUUCAACUUCAUGUUCUACUUCCUCAUCUUCUCCAUUUUAUAAAUUUUUAUCAUCUUUUCCUAUUCUUCUACAUUGUCUAUGUAUGUAUGUAUUUGUUGGUUUAUAUAUUGGGGUUAGAUGUUAGGUUGAUUUUGGGGGUUUGAUUU
RNAcentral lists this long non-coding RNA (1192 nucleotides) under Zostera marina. RNAcentral's name for it is "long non-coding RNA (ZMAR_LNC003844)". Lineage: Eukaryota; Viridiplantae; Streptophyta; Magnoliopsida; Alismatales; Zosteraceae. The record is from RNAcentral.